GGAUGAUAUUCUUUCCUUCCAGAUCGAUGUUGCAGCAGCCGGUGAGGACGGCGUCCGCGUUCUUUGAGAGAUCACCUCCAACCUCACAUCGAGGGGUGAAUCUCCGAAAUGACGUUAGGCAACAAUGGUAGAAUGUCGAGUCCUUACUUUCUCCAACAGUUCUCUUUGCAUCAGUUACAGCCUUACGCGUUUCAUAGGGUACUGCCCUAUUUCAUCAGAGGUACUGCUCUGGGGUCCUUCUGUCUGCUCCUCACUGCUCCCGCGCGCGGUUUAGUGAUGCCGGGUGAAGUCAUAUUCCGAC
Molecule: non-coding RNA, 301 nt
Organism: Pelobates cultripes (western spadefoot toad)
Lineage: Eukaryota; Metazoa; Chordata; Amphibia; Anura; Pelobatidae
Source: the annotation of a GenBank genome assembly